This 904-nucleotide long non-coding RNA is filed under the name Rattus norvegicus (Norway rat). RNAcentral describes it as "long non-coding RNA NONRATT012890". The record is from RNAcentral. Lineage: Eukaryota; Metazoa; Chordata; Mammalia; Rodentia; Muridae.
AAUCGUGAGUCUAACUUGCGUUCAAAGGUUUUCUUGACUACUGGACACGUUUGCAUCGGUCGCCGGGUGGAGACUUGUUCUUAAUAAACAGUUUCGAGGAUCGAGGCCCAUCAGUCAGUCUGCUGUUUCCAGGUCCUGGCGGCCCAAGGAGGGAAGACCAACAUGCUGACUAAGUAGCCAGCAUCCCUCCCUACUCAGCCCUCUGAGUGGCUUCUGACACCUGGUACAGCACAAAAAGAAAACCCCUUCAGGGGCUAACGGUCCUCUCAUUGUUUUUUCUUACAGGGUCUGUGUUUACGUGCCUAACAGUAGCUCUGGGAUUUUACCGCCUGUGGAUAUAAUAAAGUGUCUAUUUAAAGAAACCCCCAUUGUUUUGCCAUAAGAGUACCAGAUUGCUGUCCCACCCACCCAACUCCCCCUUUUUUUCUCUUUUCUCGGUUUUUUUAGUCCUAAUUUGACUUCGUGUGUAUUAUUUAUUUCUGUGCAAACUGUGGAUCCAUAACCAAGGUGAAGAAAGUCGGGAUUUCUGUAAUCAUUGUUCGGAGCAACUCUGUUUAGUUGGCUUUCGGCUGAGCAGUGUGGAUGGGCCACGCUUUCAAGACUCCUUUCAGCCAAACCAAUGGACUUAGUCUCUCCUGCAGUAUUUGACAAAACUAAGUAGAGCUUUAAGUAGUUUGUAAUGUGGAGAACAUGAGAACGCGUUUUGGAAACAAGGUAGCUUUAAAUCUGAAGAAUCAUUGGAAUUCAACCCAGAAUACCAGCCCUUCUGUGCCUUUGCUACAGAUAGCCCCUCCGCCGCAGUGUUAGUGUUGCAGCUACCCUGGUACACCUCAGGGGCCUUUGUCUCUGGGUUCUCAUUGUCUUAGCAACAUUGUUAAUGUGCCUUGCAACUGGAAGUCUAGGU